Molecule: antisense RNA, 75 nt
Rfam family: ASpks TB sRNA
CUUGAUGGAACCGAGCCACAACGGGCGCCCCUCCGGCCGUUCCCGCCCGUAGGUGGCCAGCAGCGCCUGCGCUUC